RNAcentral lists this ribosomal RNA (253 nucleotides) under uncultured bacterium. Its description in RNAcentral is "partial 16S ribosomal RNA". It matches the Rfam family "Bacterial small subunit ribosomal RNA", at positions 524 to 776 of the family's 1533-position model. The record is from RNAcentral.
UACGUAGGGGGCAAGCGUUGUCCGGAAUCAUUGGGCGUAAAGAGCGUGUAGGCGGCCCGAUAAGUCCGCCGUGAAAGUCCAGGGCUCAACCCUGGAAUGCCGGUGGAAACUGUCGGGCUGGAGUCCGGAAGAGGCGAGUGGAAUUCCUGGUGUAGCGGUGAAAUGCGCAGAUAUCAGGAAGAACACCCGUGGCGAAAGCGGCUCUCUGGAACGGUACUGACGCUGAGACGCGAAAGCGUGGGGAGCAAACAGG